GAAAGCCGUAUGAGGGAAAACCUCACGUACGGUUUGAUGAGGAGGGGCUGGAUGCCCAGCCCUUCACUCUAC
Molecule: non-coding RNA, 72 nt
Filed under: Paenibacillus prosopidis
Lineage: Bacteria; Bacillati; Bacillota; Bacilli; Caryophanales; Paenibacillaceae
Source: RNAcentral